CCGGGGGAAGGCUCGUGCGCUAGGGGUUAGUAGGGUCCUAAGGUGAGGGCGACAGGCGUAGGCGAUGGAUAACAGGUUGAUAUUCCUGUAACACAAAAAAUCGUUUUAAGCGAUGGGGGGACGCAGUAGGAUAGGAGAAGCGUGCUGUUGGAGUGGACGUCCAAGCAGUGAGACUGAGUGUUAGGCAAAUCCGGCACUCAAAAGGUCAAGCUGUGAUGGGGAGAGGAAAGUGUUUCCUCGAGUCGUUGAUUUCACACUGCCGAGAAAAGCCUCUAGCUAGAAAGUUGGUGCCCGUACCGCAAACCGAAACAGGUAGUCAAGAUGAGAAUUCUAAGGUGAGCGAGCGAACUCUCGUUAAGGAACUCGGCAAAAUGACCCCGUAACUUCGGGAGAAGGGGUGCUCUUUAGGGUUUACGCUCUGAAGAGCCGCAGUGAAUAGGCCCAAGCGACUGUUUAUCAAAAACACAGGUCUCUGCUAAACCGUAAGGUGACGUAUAGGGGCUGACGCCUGCCCGGUGCUGGA
Molecule: ribosomal RNA, 523 nt
Filed under: Staphylococcus felis
Lineage: Bacteria; Bacillati; Bacillota; Bacilli; Caryophanales; Staphylococcaceae
Description: bacterial LSU rRNA
Rfam family: Bacterial large subunit ribosomal RNA
Source: RNAcentral